UUGAGGAAUAUUGCGCAAUGGAGGCAACUCUGACGCAGCCAUGCCGCGUGCAGGAAGAAGGCGCUACGCGUUGUAAACUGCUUUUAACCGGGAAGAAACCCCAGGACGUGUCCUGGGUUGACGGUACCGGAGGAAUAAGCACCGGCUAACUUCGUGCCAGCAGCCGCGGUAAUACGAAGGGUGCAAGCGUUAUCCGGACUCAUUGGGUUUAAAGGGUGCGUAGGCGGAGCGUUAAGUCAGUGGUGAAAUCCUGCAGCUUAACUGUAGACUUGCCAUUGAUACUGGCGCUCUUGAGUGCGCUUGAAGUGGGCGGAAUGUGCCGUGUAGCGGUGAAAUGCUUAGAUAUGGCACAGAACACCAAUUGCGAAGGCAGCUCACUAAGGCGAUACUGACGCUGAGGCACGAAAGCGUGGGGAUCGAACAGGAUUAGAAACCCCUGUAGUCC
RNAcentral lists this ribosomal RNA (445 nucleotides) under uncultured bacterium. RNAcentral's name for it is "partial 16S ribosomal RNA". It matches the Rfam family "Bacterial small subunit ribosomal RNA", at positions 354 to 796 of the family's 1533-position model. The record is from RNAcentral.